AUGGAGAUGAGGGGUUGGAAAGGUUUGGGGGAUGUGGGAGCGGCCGUGACCCUGCUGGAGUCCGGGGGGGACCUCCAGCCCCCCGGGGGGUCCCUGCGCCUCCUCUGCCGAGGCUCCGGGUUCGAUUUUGGGAGUUUUGACAUGUUAUGGAUCCGCCAGAGACCCGGGCAGGGGCUGGAAUACAUCGCUGAUAUCAGCAAUGGUGGCACCACCAGAUACGCGCCGUCGGUCAAGGGCCAGUUCACGAUCUCCAGGGACAACGGGCAGAGCUCGGUGACGCUGACCAUGAACAACCUCAAGGACGAGGAUUCCGGAUCCUAUUUCUGCGCCAAAAACGCUUACGAUGGUGGUGGUUGGGAAGCUCAUGCUGGUUCUUUUUCUGGCCAUGUCCCCAUCAAUGUGUCCCCACCUGUCCCCAAAUCCCCGAUUAUUCCCUCUAACCCUUGA
This is a non-coding RNA of Passer montanus (Eurasian tree sparrow), 447 nucleotides long. Lineage: Eukaryota; Metazoa; Chordata; Aves; Passeriformes; Passeridae. The record is from the annotation of a RefSeq genome assembly.